This 778-nucleotide ribosomal RNA is filed under the name uncultured soil bacterium. RNAcentral's name for it is "bacterial SSU rRNA". It matches the Rfam family "Bacterial small subunit ribosomal RNA", at positions 60 to 833 of the family's 1533-position model. The record is from RNAcentral.
AGUCGAGCGGAUGACAGGAGCUUGCUCCUGAAUCCAGCGGCGGACGGGUGAGUAAUGCCUAGGAAUCUGCCUGGUAGUGGGGGACAACGUCUCGAAAGGGACGCUAAUACCGCAUACGUCCUACGGGAGAAAGCAGGGGACCUUCGGGCCUUGCGCUAUCAGAUGAGCCUAGGUCGGAUUAGCUAGUUGGUGAGGUAAUGGCUCACCAAGGCGACGAUCCGUAACUGGUCUGAGAGGAUGAUCAGUCACACUGGAACUGAGACACGGUCCAGACUCCUACGGGAGGCAGCAGUGGGGAAUAUUGGACAAUGGGCGAAAGCCUGAUCCAGCCAUGCCGCGUGUGUGAAGAAGGUCUUCGGAUUGUAAAGCACUUUAAGUUGGGAGGAAGGGCAUUAACCUAAUACGCUAGUGUUUUGACGUUACCGACAGAAUAAGCACCGGCUAACUCUGUGCCAGCAGCCGCGGUAAUACAGAGGGUGCAAGCGUUAAUCGGAAUUACUGGGCGUAAAGCGCGCGUAGGUGGUUUGUUAAGUUGGAUGUGAAAGCCCCGGGCUCAACCUGGGAACUGCAUUCAAAACUGACAAGCUAGAGUAUGGUAGAGGGUGGUGGAAUUUCCUGUGUAGCGGUGAAAUGCGUAGAUAUAGGAAGGAACACCAGUGGCGAAGGCGACCACCUGGACUGAUACUGACACUGAGGUGCGAAAGCGUGGGGAGCAAACAGGAUUAGAUACCCUGGUAGUCCACGCCGUAAACGAUGUCNACUAGCCCGUUGGGGAGCC